Molecule: ribosomal RNA, 310 nt
Filed under: Rhizophagus intraradices
Lineage: Eukaryota; Fungi; Glomeromycota; Glomeromycetes; Glomerales; Glomeraceae
Description: eukaryotic LSU rRNA
Rfam family: Eukaryotic large subunit ribosomal RNA
Source: RNAcentral
CAUAUCAAUAAGCGGAGGAAAAGAAAAUAACAAUGAUUCCCCUAGUAACUGCGAGUGAAGAGGGACAAGCUCAAAUUUUAAAUCUAUCGGGUUUUACCUGAUCGAGUUGUAAUUUGAAGAAGCGUUUUCUGCGUAUUUGGUCAGCCUAAGUCCUAUUGAAUGAGGCAUCAUGGAGGGUGAUAAUCCCGUCCGGUUGAUCAUUUGCGUUUUACGAUACGCUUUCUAAGAGUCAAGUUGUUUGGGAUUGCAGCUUAAAAUGGGAGGUAAAUUUCUCCUAAGGCUAAACAACGGCGAGAGACCGAUAGCGAAC